UACGAAGGGGGCUAGCGUUGCUCGGAAUCACUGGGCGUAAAGCGCACGUAGGCGGCUUUCUAAGUCAGGGGUGAAAUCCUGGAGCUCAACUCCAGAACUGCCUUUGAUACUGGAGAGCUCGAGUCCGGAAGAGGUGAGUGGAACUGCGAGUGUAGAGGUGAAAUUCGUAGAUAUUCGCAAGAACACCAGUGGCGGAGGCGGCUCACUGGUCCGGUACUGACGCUGAGGUGCGAAAGCGUGGGGAGCAAACAGG
Molecule: ribosomal RNA, 253 nt
Filed under: uncultured bacterium
Lineage: Bacteria
Description: partial 16S ribosomal RNA
Rfam family: Bacterial small subunit ribosomal RNA
Source: RNAcentral